GGGCACGUAGCUCAGUCCGGAAAGAGCGUCGGACUUCUAUCAUCCGACGGUCGUGGGUUCAAAUCCCAUCGUGCCCG
Molecule: transfer RNA, 77 nt
Filed under: Natronobacterium gregoryi SP2
Lineage: Archaea; Methanobacteriati; Methanobacteriota; Halobacteria; Halobacteriales; Natrialbaceae
Also listed under: 1 other name
Description: tRNA-Arg
Rfam family: tRNA
About the family: Transfer RNA (tRNA) molecules are approximately 80 nucleotides in length. Their secondary structure includes four short double-helical elements and three loops (D, anti-codon, and T loops).
Source: RNAcentral